CAGCAGCCGCGGUAAUACGGAGGGUGCAAGCGUUAAUCGGAAUUACUGGGCGUAAAGCGCACGCAGGCGGUCUGUCAAGUCAGAUGUGAAAUCCCCGGGCUUAACCUGGGAACUGCAUUUGAAACUGGCAGGCUAGAGUCUUGUAGAGGGGGGUAGAAUUCCAGGUGUAGCGGUGAAAUGCGUAGAGAUCUGGAGGAAUACCGGUGGCGAAGGCGGCCCCCUGGACAAAGACUGACGCUCAGGUGCGAAAGCGUGGGGAGCAAACAGGAUUAGAUACCCGGGUAGUCCCUGUCUCUUAUAC
Molecule: ribosomal RNA, 301 nt
Filed under: uncultured bacterium
Lineage: Bacteria
Description: partial 16S ribosomal RNA
Rfam family: Bacterial small subunit ribosomal RNA
Source: RNAcentral